CCGAGUUUACAACUCCCUAACCCAUGUGAACAUACCUAUCGUUGCUUCGGCGGGACUGCCCCGACGCCCCCUCGGGGGCCCGGACCCAGGCGCCCGCCGGGGGACCCAAACCUCUUGUUUUAUGAACGUUUCUUCUGAGUAACACAAGCAAAUAAAUUA
This 159-nucleotide unclassified non-coding RNA is filed under the name uncultured Acremonium. Its description in RNAcentral is "sequence contains ITS1". Lineage: Eukaryota; Fungi; Ascomycota. The record is from RNAcentral.